UACGGAGGGAGCAAGCGUUACUCGGAAUUAUUGGGCGUAAAGGGCGCGUAGGCGAUCUGAAAAGUUCUGUGUGAAAGCCCACAUGUUAACUGUGGAAGUGCACAGAAAACUGUUGGAUUUGAGUUCAGGAGAGGAAGGCAGAAUUCCUGGUGUAGCGGUGAAAUGCGUAGAGAUCGGGAGGAAUACCAGUGGCGAAGGCGGCCUUCUGGACUGACACUGACGCUGAGGCGCGAAAGCCAGGGGAGCAAACGGG
Molecule: ribosomal RNA, 253 nt
Filed under: uncultured bacterium
Lineage: Bacteria
Description: partial 16S ribosomal RNA
Rfam family: Bacterial small subunit ribosomal RNA
Source: RNAcentral